CCUACGGGUGGCAGCAGUGAGGAAUAUUGGUCAAUGGGCGUAAGCCUGAACCAGCCAAGUCGCGUGAGGGAUGAAGGUUCUAUGGAUCGUAAACCUCUUUUAUAAGGGAAUAAAGUGUGGGACGUGUCCUAUAUUGUAUGUACCUAAUGAAUAAGGAUCGGCUAACUCCGUGCCAGCAGCCGCGGUAAUACGGAGGAUGCGAGCGUUAUCCGGAUUUAUUGGGUUUAAAGGGUGCGUAGGCGGCCUUUUAAGUCAGCGGUGAAAGUCUGUGGCUCAACCAUAGUAUUGCCGUUGAAACUGGGAGGCUUGAGUAUGUUAGAGGCAGGCGGAAUUCGUGGUGUAGCGGUGAAAUGCUUAGAUAUCACGCAGAACCCCGGUUGCGAAGGCAGCCUGCCAAGCCAUGACUGACGCUGAGGCACGAAAGCGUGGGGAGCAAACAGGAUUAGAUACCCGAGUAGUC
Molecule: ribosomal RNA, 460 nt
Filed under: uncultured bacterium
Lineage: Bacteria
Description: partial 16S ribosomal RNA
Rfam family: Bacterial small subunit ribosomal RNA
Source: RNAcentral